GGGCCAGUGGCGCAAUGGAUAACGUGUCUCACUACGGAUCAGAAGAUUCUAGGUUCGACUCCUGGCUGGCUCG
Molecule: transfer RNA, 73 nt
Filed under: Salmo salar (Atlantic salmon)
Lineage: Eukaryota; Metazoa; Chordata; Actinopteri; Salmoniformes; Salmonidae
Rfam family: tRNA
About the family: Transfer RNA (tRNA) molecules are approximately 80 nucleotides in length.
Source: Rfam by way of RNAcentral